UACAGAGGGUGCAAGCGUUGUUCGGAAUUAUUGGGCGUAAAGCGCGUGUAGGCGGCCGUGCAAGUCGGGUGUGAAAGCCCUCGGCUCAACCGAGGAAGUGCGCCCGAAACUGCAUGGCUUGAGUACCGGAGAGGAUGGCGGAAUUCCCCAAGUAGAGGUGAAAUUCGUAGAUAUGGGGAGGAACACCGGUGGCGAAGGCGGGUCUCUGGGCCGAUACUGACGGCUGAGGAGCGAAAGCGUGGGGAGCGAACAGG
RNAcentral lists this ribosomal RNA (254 nucleotides) under uncultured bacterium. RNAcentral's name for it is "partial 16S ribosomal RNA". It matches the Rfam family "Bacterial small subunit ribosomal RNA", at positions 524 to 776 of the family's 1533-position model. The record is from RNAcentral.